CUACGGGGGGCUGCAGUGGGGAAUAUUGCACAAUGGGCGCAAGCCUGAUGCAGCCAUGCCGCGUGUAUGAAGAAGGCCUUCGGGUUGUAAAGUACUUUCAGCGGGGAGGAAGGGAGUAAAGUUAAUACCUUUGCUCAUUGACGUUACCCGCAGAAGAAGCACCGGCUAACUCCGUGCCAGCAGCCGCGGUAAUACGGAGGGUGCAAGCGUUAAUCGGAAUUACUGGGCGUAAAGCGCACGCAGGCGGUUUGUUAAGUCAGAUGUGAAAUCCCCGGGCUCAACCUGGGAACUGCAUCUGAUACUGGCAAGCUUGAGUCUCGUAGAGGGGGGUAGAAUUCCAGGUGUAGCGGUGACAUGCGUAGAGAUCUGGAGGAAUACCGGUGGCGAAGGCGGCCUCCUAGACGAAGACUGACGCUCAGGUGCGAAAGCGUGGGGAGCAAACAGGAUUAGAUACCCCCGUAGUC
This 464-nucleotide ribosomal RNA is filed under the name uncultured bacterium. RNAcentral's name for it is "partial 16S ribosomal RNA". It matches the Rfam family "Bacterial small subunit ribosomal RNA", at positions 339 to 795 of the family's 1533-position model. The record is from RNAcentral.